AUGAACCAGUCUGUCUGGUACAGAUAUAUGUGUGUAUGCAGCCGGAGCAGGAGCUCGGCGAGCAGGACGAGCCCGCGCUGCCCGCGGAAGACUUCGGCGAGCCGGUGGGACCAGCGCGACCAGCAGGGCCGCCACGUCCGCGACCAGCAUGUCCGCGACCAGCGCCUUAGAUCGUGUGCCACACCUUGCUGUUGCUCACCGGAGCAGCGCCGCCACUGGACCCGGGACAAGCCGCCGGAGGAGCAGGCCACCGGAACCGUUUCGCCGCUGCUGCCGGACCUGUGGCAGGCUGCCGGAGCUACAGCGCCGCCGCCACUGCACGCGUGGCAAGCCACUGGAGGAGCAGCGCCGCCGCCGCCACCAGGGCAGGCCGCCGGAGGAGCAGCUCCGCUGUCGCUGGACCGGGGGCAGCCCGCUGGAGCUGCAGCGCCGCCGCCACUGGAUCAGUGGCAGGCCACCAGAACCGUUUCACCGCUGCUGCCGGACCCGUGGCCGCCCGCUGGAGCUGCUGCGUUUCCAUCAAGGGGUUAGAGGUAGGCCACCUGAACUGUUUUACCGCCACUGCCUCACCCACAGCAUGUCCGGCUUGUUUUGCCAUCCUGCGGGUUGGCCGCCAGAACUGUGUUUGCUGCCACUGGACCGGGGAUUGGACUAUUGAACUGGGUUUUUCUUUUGUUGUUUUGUGGUGGCUGUUUAACGGAGAGGUUUAAACAGCCUGCUGUGCAAACAAUUCACUGUUUGCACAGCAGCAAUGACUCAGCUGAUAUGACUUCUUCAAAUACUAUCAUACAAAGUGAGAUGAAUUACAGUUAGAUCCAUAAGUUUUUGGACAAUGACACACUUUCACAAUUGUACUCUGUACAUCAACACAGUGGAAUCUGACUUAAACAAUUAGGAUGUGACUGAAGUGCAGACCUUCAAGGCCCACAAAACUCAGUGGUGGCAGAUUUAUUCUCUUAUGUAUUAAUCAUAUCACAUUAGUGAUAGUAAUAUCACUUUCUCAUUUAGGUAUAUACAUGUGCACUACAAAUAGGCCUUAUGCUCUAUCACACACACUGACACAGUGGGGACAUUGUAACGGGAGACAAACAGAUAGUGGGACUCCUCCUUAUCAGGGAUGCAAAUUCUUAGGUGACGUCUAAGCAGAAAACAAGGUCAUAAUUCUCUCUGUGAGGAGGGGGUCAAGGAUGAGCUGGACUGAUUCAGUAAGAGGACUAGAUGUUCCAGUCCCUGAUAAUGCAUUGCUUUAAAUGGAGAGAAUCUUGAGGGAUGGCUGUUUUGAGGAAAGGCAGCCCAGAAACUUUACCAGCAGCACACAUCGUUGUGUGCCUCAACUUUCGGUCUUUUAUUCAGGCUAAUCUGCCAUUUUUGGGGGGAUUAGAGAUCUGAUCUAGGUUAUGAUAUUAAGAUUUGGGACACAUCGUCAUUAGUGGACCUUGGAUUCAUCGGGUGUUUCGGCCAUUAUCACUAGACACCCUCAUCCAAGGAGGCCCUGCCAGGGUUGAUCAGGCCCCUGAGUGUGUCACUGGUUCAUGUUAAAUUGUUAUUUCUUCUUUCUUUUGUUCUGUUUCUUCUUCUCCCUGUGACUGAGAAAUAUUUAUGGAAAUAUUUAUAUUUAUGGAUAUUUAUGGAGCCUCACUUCUUCAAAGGGAUAGAAAAGGUGAUAGACAGAAGUAAGAUAAGAGGGACAAGAUAGGAG
Oreochromis niloticus (Nile tilapia) is the source of this 1699-nucleotide long non-coding RNA. The record is from Ensembl. NCBI's taxonomy places the organism in Eukaryota, Metazoa, Chordata, Actinopteri, Cichliformes, Cichlidae.